Molecule: ribosomal RNA, 477 nt
Filed under: Triticum aestivum (bread wheat)
Lineage: Eukaryota; Viridiplantae; Streptophyta; Magnoliopsida; Poales; Poaceae
Description: partial small subunit ribosomal RNA
Source: RNAcentral
AUGUUGGAGAAGUAUCACUCUUCUGCGGGAAUAUCAAAUGCUGCUUCAGCUUCACAAGAUGAAGUUUUUUACAUAUUUGAACGGUACAUGUCUGCACAACCUACUGCUUCAUCUUUGUUGGUUCAUACAGAGCUAGACAUGUAUUUAGAAGAGCCAACUUUGCCAAGAGCACCUGAUUUUGAUAUCAUCAACUGGUGGAAGUUUGGAGGGAUAAAUUAUCCAACUCUACAGCUUAUUACUCAUGACAUCUUGCCUAUUCCGGUCACAACAGUAGCAUCAGAAUCUGCAUUCUCUAUAAGUGGUAGAAUCCUCUGCCCUCACCGCAGUAGGCUUGCACCAAAGAUGGUAGAAGCUAUAAUGUGUAUGCAAGCUUGGUCUAAUGCUGAUAUGCUAGGUAAGACAAUUCAAAUCUUGCUCUUUUGCUCCUAUUUUACUGCUGGUUUGUUGUUCCUACACCACUUUUUUUUGCUUACAUAA